This is a non-coding RNA of Misgurnus anguillicaudatus (oriental weatherfish), 1971 nucleotides long. NCBI's taxonomy places the organism in Eukaryota, Metazoa, Chordata, Actinopteri, Cypriniformes, Cobitidae. The record is from RefSeq and is a predicted model, not a curated record.
UCUGAUAUUCGCUUAACAAUAACCAAUUUUUUCUCCUCCUUGCAGUCAUGGAUGAAUGGGUGAGCAACCUAACUUUAUCACUCAGUUCUAUAUUCCACCAAGAGGAUGUAAUCAAGCGAGUGGUGGAGGUAAUUAAAGACCUUGGAGUAAGUUCCGCUGAGGACCUUAAGUAUUUGGAGGCAGAUGACCUCGCAGGAGUCCUUAGGCCAAUAGAGAUCCGAAAAGUAAUUGCCCACCUUAAAUCGAUGGGAAUGUUGAAUGAUUCCUCCUCACAAGCUCAUACUCUAAUUGAGGAGUCAAGCACUGGUGAAGAUUCAUUUCUUAGUGACAUUGAUGAUUAUGUCACCAGCAAUAACUCCACACUAAAAACCACUGCUGCAAGGAGCUCAGCUUUGGUCAUGUCAAAGAGCAGUCAAGCAUCACCCAUUAUGCCAAGUCCAGCCUCACCCAGUGUUUCAAGUCAAGCCUCACAUAGUGUUUCAAAUCAAGCCUCACCCAGUGUGUCAUGUCCAGAAUCAUUUUCUGCAUCAGAGAGUGGGUCCUCCCCUUUAGCCAGGGAAAAUAAUAGCUGGCAUUUCAGUUUUGACAUACCCUGGAGUAAGUUGGCCCCAAGUGCAAGACAACUUUUAGAAAAUGAGCAGAGGCCAUCUGCAGCAGAAAGAAGAGAGAUUAUCAGGAUUGUAGUGGCUGAAGUACUCGGUGUGUGCAAGAAGCCAGGAAAGAGGCACAUUGCUGAGAUAGCCAGGCAGAUGGUAAUUCGCUACCCGAAGUCAUUCCGAGAUGAAAUUGAGGGCCAGGUUGUUGGCACUGGUUAUGACUCCAUUGUAAAGCAAUUGAUGACUCCAAGCUCCCACCAAUAAAAGGUUAUCUGAAAGUGGCAGGCCUGAGAACGUAAAGAAAGGGUAAAGAUGCAUAUGGCUGCAUUAACCCUGACCCAGAGCUUACUAGUAGUGAAACAAAACAAUUGCAAGAUCAAAAACAAGAAGAGCUAAUCAACAUGUUCAAAAACAAUGAUAAAGAUGAAAAGAGAGUUGAAAAACUGAUGGUGGAGACGUUUCCCUCACAGAGAAGAGACUUAUUAUCAGGACUGAAGGAGACCAAAGAGAUCUUUAAGGUGUGGCCUUUCCUCUACCAGAAAAUUGGAAUGAGGCUUCAUUUCAGAGAACUAACAGGCAUCCAGAUUGAUGACACCUUUGAAGAGUCCACAGGUUCCAAGAUCCAGAGAAUCCUGCGGUACUUUCCGUUCGUCCAAACUGAUCCAUCAAGCAGAUUUGGCACUGUUCUUAACCAAACUCUGGAAGGAGGUGAUGACACUUGUGCAGCUGUUCAGAUGCUGCUAGCUCAUUUCAAAGAGCAACAAGAGAAAAUGUUUCUAAUUGUCGAUGACACUGCCAUUGCAAGCGAUGUUGACACCACUAAGCUUCCAUGGAACCCCUGCAUUGUGGUUUGUGGAAACAACCCACUUACUGCCAAGAUGUUCAUGGUUGCAGUGGACCAGUUCAUAGUCAACGAUCAGCUUCCCAGCUUCAACAAAGCAUUCCAGAUGAUGUUCUGCUCAUAUUACCUGCACAACAUUGACUAUCCAGUGGAAAUUGCAGCCACGCUGGAGUUCUUACAGAGAUGCAUCUUCAAAAUUAACCAUGAUCAAGGGACCAAAGUCACACGCAAAGUAAAGGGACGCCAGUACGCCAUCAACCCGAGAGUGUUGAGCCUCAUUUCCAAAAUUGCAAAUUUUGAGUGGACAGAGUAAAUGGUAUGACCCCCUCACAAAACGACACAAUCAUCAGAUAAAUUUGUACAUAAGUCAGUCCCAAAUCAUAUCUUUUGUUAGUUUUGAGGGCAAAUACACACUGAAAGGUGGUCAUGGUAUCUCUUUAUUUUUUAUAAGUGACAUAAUUUGCUUUAUAUUUUAGAGACUUAUAAUUCUGCCACAUUUCUAAAAUAGUUGUAUAAUUAAUCUUACAGUUCUUC